ACUCCAGCCUGGGCAACAGAGCAAGACUCCAUCUCAAACACACAAACAAAAAAAAAAACCACAUUAAGUGCUUAGCAUAAUAUCUGGUAUAUUCUAUACCAAAUACUCUGAGAAGAAUCACAGAAUAGGGACAUGUCAAUCAGACCACUGAAUUAGAGGUAGCUUCCUGGAGGAAAUAUUACUUUAAUAAAUUCUGGAGGAUAAAUAAAAAUUGGAGUAAGAUGAAGGAAGUGGAAAAGUUAUUGAGAUAAGGAAUGUUAGGUAUUAAAGCAAGGUAAGAAAUAUUAAGAUAAGAAGGCAGUGGACGCCAUGUUAUCAGGGUGUUAGAAUGGAGUGAGGAGCUAGAGAAACAGAUUAUGCCAUGAUGUGUGGGCCUAUGUGUCACAUGUUUUGUGUUUAUCACAGGGUCUGUAGCAGUAUCUUGCACAGUGUUGUGUAUAUGAAUGAAUUCGUGAGUAAAUGCGUAAAUGAAAAUACAUCUUAGGUUCCUAGAGCUCUGGAAGUGGGGAGUGGAGAAAACCUUUGCUACUGAGCCACCUACAUUUUCAUCAUAAAAAGGCAGAUACUACAAAGAUACUGGAGUGAAACCAGCAUCUUUAAUCUCUAAGAGUGAAACCUAGAAACUAGCAACAAUGGAAAGUUGUCACAAGCAUUAGACUGAAGUGACAAAGAGGAGAGAUGGUGUCUGUUGCCUGGUGAAAGCUAGAGUGAGAAGGAAGAGGUGUAGCCACAAGGGGUCUGGAGGGGCACACAGUUGCUGCCAAAGAUGCUUCCCUGAAGCAGGGAAGGAAAAGGAAGCCAUGCCUCCACUUCCCACUUUUCCAGCCCACCAAUCUCCUGCUGAUGUCUUCUGUUGUGGAAGUCAGCCCUCAAAGCAGUUCCAGCAGGUUUCUCUCUGGGAUUUAACUCCAUGUGACUUCUUAUUGUCUGAGGCAAUCCAGAGGUGUUCAGCUUUGGUUCAAAAGUGGGCAGAGAUGGGCCCAUGUGAGACAAUGGAUGGGGCCAAUCUAACUGCUUGAAACUGGGAAUAAGUCAGUCAGAGUUCUGGAAGCUGAGAAGUCUAAGAUCAAGGUGCUGGCUGAUUUGAUUCCUGGUGUGGGUCCUUUUCCUGGCUUGUAAACAGACAUCUUCUGGAUGUGUCCUCUCCUGUCCUCCUCCAUGGGCUGGUAGCUCGGAGGCUGGGCUGGAUUGUUGAUACAGUCUACCUACCAGUCCUCACCCUGCAGGUCCUCAUGUAUUAGUUCAUUUUCACACUGCUAUAAAGAAAUACCCAAGACUGGGUAAUUUAUAAAGGAAAGAGCUUUAAUUGACUCACAGUUUCUCAUGGCUGGGGAGGCCUCAGAAAACCGACAAUCAUGGCGGCAGGCGAGAGACACCGAGCAAGAGCAGGGAAAACUGCCUUACAAAACCAUCAGCUCUCGUGAGAACUCACUCACCAUUAUGAGACCAGCGUGGAGGAAACCGCCCCCAUGAUCCAAUCAUCACCUCCCACCUGGUUCCUCCGUCGACACGUGGGGAUUAUGGGGAUUACAAUUCGAGA
Molecule: long non-coding RNA, 1540 nt
Filed under: Homo sapiens (human)
Lineage: Eukaryota; Metazoa; Chordata; Mammalia; Primates; Hominidae
Description: long non-coding RNA NONHSAT166135.1
Source: RNAcentral